Molecule: long non-coding RNA, 385 nt
Filed under: Ananas comosus (pineapple)
Lineage: Eukaryota; Viridiplantae; Streptophyta; Magnoliopsida; Poales; Bromeliaceae
Description: long non-coding RNA (ACOM_LNC023324)
Source: RNAcentral
UCUCUCUCUCUCUCUCUCUCUCUCUCUCUAUAUAUAUAUAUAUAUAUAUAUAUAUUGAUAUAUAGGCUGGGACUACUAUACUCUUGUGAGUAUAGACCUCUUUAUAUUCAUAAAUUUUUAACUGUUGAUUGAUGGGAUGUGUGGUUAGGAUGACGGUGGUUCUCACUUAGAAUGAUAGUGGUCCCCUAGGGUUGAGUGGAUAGUUGGUUGAAUAACAUAAUCUAACGGAUAAAAAUGGCCAAUGAAAUAAAUCUAAGGAUCGAAAAUUUAUGAGUAUAAGAGAGGCAAUACUCAUAAAAGUAUAGUAGCCGCACUAUAUAUAUAAAUAUAUAUAUAUAUAUUAGCGUGUGGGUGUCAACAACGAUCCAUUGGCACUUAUGAUAGA